Molecule: RNA transcript, 2604 nt
Organism: Panicum virgatum (switchgrass)
Lineage: Eukaryota; Viridiplantae; Streptophyta; Magnoliopsida; Poales; Poaceae
Gene name: nuclear pore complex protein NUP85-like
Exons: 19
Source: RefSeq, a predicted model, not a curated record
ACUCUUCAGUAGUCUUUGGAUUUCGAAUUCCUAAAACCCCCUUCUCCAGACGCAUUGCUCACCCAAAUCCCGCUCGCAGCUGUCACCCGCCUCCAAAACCCUAGCCCGUGCUCGGCCGGCGACGAGGAUGCCUGGCAUGCCGACGACGGACGGCAGCGGCGCUAUCGUCGCAUUUAGAGGGGAGCCUGGCCAAGGGACGCCGUCGCCACCACCUGUGCGGCUUAUCCGCCACGGCGUGGCCCCGCCCAUCUUCCGCGUCUACAUCUCCUGGUCCAGCGGCAACCUUCUGCAGGUCGCGUGCCUCCGCCCGCCGAACUCAGAGGUGUACGGCGGCGCGGAGGGGGUCGCUGGGAGUGUGGUGGAGGUGAACCUCGGCUGCGGCAGCAGUGGUGGCGCGGAGGUCGAGGAGGAAAUUGACGAUGCAGAGAUGCGGCGGAUCGAGUACGGGUCGGUGCCGGCCUUUGCGCUGCUGCAGAGCAGAAAGAACGCCCUCGCUGAUGCUGCCGCUAUGUCGCGCAUGUCCGCAGUCCCUGAUUGCGCAGAAUGGUGGCAAUACGUGCUCGAAUACAGCAAAACCAUUGGCAAUCUCCUUGGGAACCCGGAUUCUUCCGCUGCUUUCAUGAUUGAAGACCCCAAGACAAUUCUUAAGGUUAGGGAGAAGCCCACAAGUUUAAGGGCUGCCUGGGAGUUGUUGGAGAUAUUCUAUGUUGAUAAACAGUUGCAAAGCUGGCUUCCUGAGCGUCUUGUUGAUUGGUUAGCCGAUUUUGACUGCCUCUUGUCAGCUAAGGAGAGCACAGUGUAUUCUAAACUCAGCAAUUUCCAGAAACAGCUCAUUAAUUUGCAGAUUGUUGAAGAUGACCCUGAUUACUGGAAUGGUUUGUCAGCAGCACUUUCGGUUGGGUGGCUUGACAUUGUGGUGAAUAUGCUACGGUUUCAUGGAUCAUAUCAAUUGGAUCAGAUGGAUAACCGUGAGACAGAAAAUGGAUUAGUCGAGGCUGUUGCUGUUCUUGUAUCAAUGAUGCCCCUCUUGAGACCGAAUUUACCAACCGGUAAAUUAGGCCAGUGCUGCAAAACAAGACCCGAUUUUAUCAAGGCAUGGGAAAAGUGGCGAGGUCAAGUAACUAAACUGGAGUGCAGUGCAUUUUGGAUCCAGUGUGGUCACCAAAAAACCCGUGAUGGUUUGAAAAAAUUGCUUCAUAUUAUGAUGGGGAACAUAAAGGAACUCACUGCUUCUACUUCCCAUUGGCUGGAGCUGUUUGCUUCUCAUUUUCUUUACAUAAGACCAUUUACAGUGGGUUUUGAAGGGAUGCACCAUUUAGCACAAAAAUGCAUACAGCUUAAGCCAUCCUCUGGCACUAAUGGAUUAAUAGGCCUCGUUAUUGGUGUCCUUUCAGAAAACCCAGAGGUUAUCCUGGCAGAAUGCACACAAAAUUUUGGCCCAUGGUUUGUCACGCAUGCUAUGGAACUGCUGACAGCUGAUAAUGACUAUGCUGAUACAAUGUUGCAUGAAGAGCGGCCUAACUUAGGUGGUAUAAGCAUAGAGGAACUACACCGGCUAGUCUAUGCUCAAGUUUUGUGCUCUCAUUCUUUAACUUGGCAGAUUGCGCCGACUUAUCUGUCUUCAUGUCUAAACCAAGGCCUAGGGCUCUUGGAGAUUCUACUUCUCAAGCAACCUAUACAAGAUAAUCGCCUAGUACUCAAGACUAUGGAAAUUUGCCGUUUGUAUGAACUGGACAAUGUUAGCGCAAACAUAAUGAAGAUUGCUGGCAUUUACCAUUGGAAACAUGGGCGAAAAGGGGCUGGUGUAUACUGGUUCCAGCAAGCUCAUGAUAAAGUUCGUCUUGACAGAAUUGCUCAACAGUUAUUUGAACGCAUUGGGAAGUCAGUCACAGAUGAUAGUUUUAAGCAAUGGGAAGGGCUGCUCGAGCUACUUGGUCCUGAUAUUGGUAGUGCUGGUGGUCUCGAGUUUCUUCAUAGGUACCGUGACUUUAAGAGGUCUCUGCAACAAGCUUUAGAUGGAAGGUCUGGUGAGGCUGCUCGGCAAACUGUAGAUUUUCUUAUACAGCUUAUGAGGAACCCAUCCACACCGCAACGAUUCUGGCUGCCCCUUUUACAUGAUUCAGUGGAGCUACUUAAUUGCAAACCCAGUCCACUAAUGAAUGUUGCUGAGACGACCUUGUUGCUCAACAAGCUGCAAGAGCUGUUGCUCGCCAAGCUGCGCCCUGAUUUUUCGAACAGUCACCUACCAAGCCAUGCGUUGAGCUCCGUGAGAUUGGCUGUGGCAUCGAAUCUGGCACGUGCCAUCCUUGAAGACCCCUGAGUCGAGCACAGUGUAGCACAAGUUUGCUGGUGAAUUGUCGUCAUGUUCCCUUGUUUAUCAGACUUGAGAAACGGUUGAUAUUGGGUCUGCUCUGGACGAGCAGUUGUGCUAUAGAUGUACCGUACAUUGUACUUUAGUUUAGUGCGUGCGGCGAAUAGAUCAUAAUCAUUGUAGUUUGAAGGAAAAAAGAACCUAUUAGCAUGUUGUUGCUUGUAAACACUUUCUUCUGCGGAGUAUACUUUUGUUGUGAAAAAGAGAACAAAAUGAUCUGGUCGGUCAACUGC